This 402-nucleotide ribosomal RNA is filed under the name uncultured soil bacterium. Its description in RNAcentral is "bacterial SSU rRNA". It matches the Rfam family "Bacterial small subunit ribosomal RNA", at positions 26 to 424 of the family's 1533-position model. The record is from RNAcentral.
AGAGUGAACGCUGGCGGCAGGCCUAACACAUGCAAGUCGAACGGCAGCACAGCAAUAGCAGUACUGUGGGUGGCGAGUGGCGGACGGGUGAGGAAUACAUCGGAAUCUACCUUGUCGUGGGGGAUAACGUAGGGAAACUUACGCUAAUACCGCAUACGAACUAUGGUUGAAAGCGGCGGACCGCAAGGCGUCGCGCGAUUGGAUGAGCCGAUGUCCGAUUAGCUAGUUGGCGGGGUAAAGGCCCACCAAGGCGACGAUCGGUAGCUGGUCUGAGAGGAUGAUCAGCCACACUGGAACUGAGACACGGUCCAGACUCCUACGGGAGGCAGCAGUGGGGAAUAUUGGACAAUGGGGGCAACCCUGAUCCAGCCAAUGCCGCGUGUGUGAAGAAGGCCUCGGGUU